Small nuclear RNA from Myotis lucifugus (little brown bat), 164 nucleotides. Its record names the gene U1. It matches the Rfam family "U1 spliceosomal RNA". Rfam says of the family: U1 is a small nuclear RNA (snRNA) component of the spliceosome (involved in pre-mRNA splicing). Its 5' end forms complementary base pairs with the 5' splice junction, thus defining the 5' donor site of an intron. There are significant differences in sequence and secondary structure between metazoan and yeast U1 snRNAs, the latter being much longer (568 nucleotides as compared to 164 nucleotides in human). NCBI's taxonomy places the organism in Eukaryota, Metazoa, Chordata, Mammalia, Chiroptera, Vespertilionidae. The record is from Ensembl.
AUACUUACCUGGCAGGGGAGACACCAUGGUCACCAAGGUGGUUUUCCCAGGACGAGGCUUGUCCAUUGCACUCCGGAUGUGUUGACCCCUGAGAUUUCCUCAAAUGUGGGAAACUCAACUACACAAUUUGUGGUAGUGGGGGACUGCGUUUGCACUCUCCCCAA